RNAcentral lists this ribosomal RNA (403 nucleotides) under uncultured bacterium. Its description in RNAcentral is "partial 16S ribosomal RNA". It matches the Rfam family "Bacterial small subunit ribosomal RNA", at positions 30 to 526 of the family's 1533-position model. The record is from RNAcentral.
AUUGAACGCUGGCGGCAGGACUAACACAUGCAAGUCGAGCGAGCGGCGGACGGGUGCGUAAUGUAUGGGGACUGCCCGAUAGAGGGGGAUAACUACUGGCCACGGUAGCUAAUACCGCAUACUAUCGGAUAACCCAUAUGGGAUUAGCUAGUAGGUGGGGUAAUGGCUCACCUAGGCGACGAUGCCUAGCUGGACUGAGAGUAUGAUCAGCCAGACUUGGACUGAGACACGGCCCAGACUCCUGCGGAGUCAGCAGUGGGGAAUAUUGCACAAUGGGCGCAAGCCUGAUGCAGCCAUGCCGCGUGUAUGAAGAAGGCCCUAGGGUUGUAAAGUACUUUCAGUCGGGAGGCGUUACCUACAGACGAAGCACCGGCUAACUCCGUGCCAGCAGCCGCGGUAAGAC